UGUCAGUAAGAAUUUUUAUCUUUAGCAAUGCUGAUAAAACUAAAUUUAAAAAAAAAAAAAAGAGUAUUUCCAGCUUUCCAACCAAAUAUUAGAGACUUUUACAAAAGCACCAUCACAAAAUAAUGCUUUUAUAAUCAAUUUAAAAGUCUUUCAAAUCGUUAAUCAUUUUCUAAAGGCGUAGAAAAAGAAUCAUCAAUCUUCAUACUAUUUAAUAAAGCUAUUUUAAUAAAACGCAA
This is a non-coding RNA of Hydra vulgaris (swiftwater hydra), 236 nucleotides long. The record is from RefSeq and is a predicted model, not a curated record. Lineage: Eukaryota; Metazoa; Cnidaria; Hydrozoa; Anthoathecata; Hydridae.